GACUCUGUAGCUCAGCUGGUUAGAACGCUGCACCGGAAUUGCAGGGCCGCAGGUACGAUUCCUGCGAGAGGGC
This is a non-coding RNA of Paramuricea clavata, 73 nucleotides long. Lineage: Eukaryota; Metazoa; Cnidaria; Anthozoa; Malacalcyonacea; Plexauridae. The record is from the annotation of a GenBank genome assembly.